AUCUCCAGCUCUCUAUCAAUCUCAAGAGCGAGGUCAGCGGCAGAUUGGGCUACAGAAGUAAGGAGGCGGGACACGGAGUAUCAGCGUUCAAUACUCGGUGGUCUUCUUGGCCUCAAAUAUCAACUGUUCACUUCAAAGCCGUCGUUAGCGUUGCACCACGCAUCCCUAGCGAAACUGUCAAAGUCGCCGCGCCGGAAGGCACCCACAGUGAUUGCGUGGCGAAAGGGGAUUGGGCGCCUGUGCA
Molecule: unclassified non-coding RNA, 244 nt
Filed under: Hevea brasiliensis (rubber tree)
Lineage: Eukaryota; Viridiplantae; Streptophyta; Magnoliopsida; Malpighiales; Euphorbiaceae
Source: RNAcentral